AUAAUGAUUAUAGAGAUCAACUUUUUUUUUAUACGAUUAUUAUGAUUACCUUACUAUUACUUUGUAUUUGACUAAUGUCAAAUAAAUGUUAUGUAACAUAAAUAUUUGCUUCAUUAUUAAAAACCUUUCUAAAGUCUAAAGUUAUACUAUAAUUUUGCUUUUCUAGUAAAAAGAUUUAAUAACAUAAAAGUGUUUCAAUCAUGAAUGAUAUUUUGAAUAUGAUAUUAUUUACGUAUAUUAAAUUUAACAGAAGAACGAAAACAACAAACACUGCACGUAAAUCGAAUAUGACUGUAAUAACAGAUAGAAGAAAAUGGAAGAGGGAAAGUGAACAUGAAAAAAUGUCUUAUGAUAUUGAUCUAUUUCUUACACAAGA
Molecule: unclassified non-coding RNA, 376 nt
Filed under: Bombus terrestris (buff-tailed bumblebee)
Lineage: Eukaryota; Metazoa; Arthropoda; Insecta; Hymenoptera; Apidae
Description: misc RNA ENSBTSG00005037925.1
Source: RNAcentral